This 73-nucleotide transfer RNA is filed under the name Candidatus Symbiothrix dinenymphae. RNAcentral describes it as "tRNA-Gly". It matches the Rfam family "tRNA". From Rfam's summary of the family: Transfer RNA (tRNA) molecules are approximately 80 nucleotides in length. Their secondary structure includes four short double-helical elements and three loops (D, anti-codon, and T loops). Further hydrogen bonds mediate the characteristic L-shaped molecular structure. tRNAs have two regions of fundamental functional importance: the anti-codon, which is responsible for specific mRNA codon recognition, and the 3' end, to which the tRNAs corresponding amino acid is attached (by aminoacyl-tRNA synthetases). tRNAs cope with the degeneracy of the genetic code in two manners: having more than one tRNA (with a specific anti-codon) for a particular amino acid; and 'wobble' base-pairing, i.e. permitting non-standard base-pairing at the 3rd anti-codon position. Lineage: Bacteria; Pseudomonadati; Bacteroidota; Bacteroidia; Bacteroidales. The record is from RNAcentral.
GCGACAGUAGCUCAGUUGGUAGAGCACUAGCUUCCCAAGCUGGGGGUCGCGGGUUCGAGUCCCGUCUGUCGCU